RNAcentral lists this ribosomal RNA (460 nucleotides) under uncultured bacterium. Its description in RNAcentral is "partial 16S ribosomal RNA". It matches the Rfam family "Bacterial small subunit ribosomal RNA", at positions 338 to 795 of the family's 1533-position model. The record is from RNAcentral.
CCUACGGGAGGCAGCAGUGAGGAAUAUUGGUCAAUGGGCGAAAGUCUGAACCAGCCAAGUAGCGUGAAGGAUGACUGCCCUAUGGGUUGUAAACUUCUUUUAUACGGGAAUAAAACGAGGCACGUGUGCCUUUUUGCAUGUACUUUAUGAAUGAGGAUCGGCUAACUCCGUGCCAGCAGCCGCGGUAAUACGGAGGGUCCGGGCGUUAUCCGGAUUUAUUGGGUGUAAAGGGAGCGUAGAUGGGUUGUUAAGUCAGUUGUGAAAGUUUGCGGCUCAACCGUAAAAGUGCAAUUGAUACUGGCAGGCUUGAGUACAGUGGAGGUAAGCGGAAUUCGUGGUGUAGCGGUGAAAUGCGUAGAUAUCACGAAGAACCCCGAUUGCGAAGGCAGCUUACUAAACUGUGACUGACAUUGAUGCUCGAAAGUGUGGGUAUCAAACAGGAUUAGAUACCCCUGUAGUC